Molecule: ribosomal RNA, 117 nt
Filed under: Caldifarciminota bacterium
Lineage: Bacteria; Pseudomonadati; Caldifarciminota
Source: RNAcentral
CCCGGCGGUGACACCGGAGGGGCCACACCUCUUCCCAUUCCGAACAGAGUAGUUAAGCCCUCCAGGGCCGAUGGUACUGCGCUGGCAACGGCGUGGGAGAGUAGGACGCUGCCGGGU